This 520-nucleotide ribosomal RNA is filed under the name uncultured Glomus. RNAcentral describes it as "SSU rRNA". It matches the Rfam family "Eukaryotic small subunit ribosomal RNA", at positions 569 to 1090 of the family's 1831-position model. Lineage: Eukaryota; Fungi; Glomeromycota; Glomeromycetes; Glomerales; Glomeraceae. The record is from RNAcentral.
AGCAGCCGCGGUAAUUCCAGCUCCAAUAGCGUAUAUUAAAGUUGUUGCAGUUAAAAAGCUCGUAGUUGAAUUUCGGGAUCAGUACGCUGGUCGUGCCUUUGGUAUGUACUGGUGUCACUGAUUCCUCCCUUCUGAAGAACCGUUAUGCCAUUUAUUUGGUGUGGCGGGGAAUCAGGACUGUUACUUUGAAAAAAUUAGAGUGUUUAAAGCAAGCUAACGCUUGAAUACAUUAGCAUGGAAUAAUGAAAUAGGACGUUCGAUCCUAUUUUGUUGGUUUCUAGGAUUGACGUAAUGAUUAAUAGGGAUAGUCGGGGGCAUUAGUACUCAAUUGUCAGAGGUGAAAUUCUUGGAUUUAUUGAAGACUAACUACUGCGAAAGCAUUUGCCAAGGAUGUUUUCAUUAAUCAAGAACGAAAGUUAGGGGAUCGAAGACGAUCAGAUACCGUCGUAGUCUUAACCAUAAACUAUGCCGACUAGGGAUCGGAUGAUGUUAAUUUUUAAUGUACUCAUUCGGCGCCUUA